CCUACGGGUGGCAGCAGUGAGGAAUAUUGGUCAAUGGACGAGAGCCUGAACCAGCCAAGUAGCGUGAAGGAUGACUGCCCUAUGGGUUGUAAACUUCUUUUAUAUGGGAAUAAAACAGGGUAUGCAUACCCUCUUGUAUGUACCAUAUGAAUAAGGAUCGGCUAACUCCGUGCCAGCAGCCGCGGUAAUACGGAGGAUCCGAGCGUUAUCCGGAUUUAUUUGGUUUAAAGGGAGCGUAGGGGGAUUGUUAAGUCAGUUGUGAAAGUUUGCGGCUCAACCGUAAAAUUGCAGUUGAAACUGGCAGUCUUGAGUACGGUAGAGUUGGGCGGAAUUCGUGGUGUAGCGGUGACAUGCUUAGAUAUCACGCAGAACUCCGAUUGCGAAGGCAGCUCACUGGACUGCAACUGACACUGAUGCUCGAAAGUGUGGGUAUCAAACAGGAUUAGAUACCCGGGUAGUC
This 460-nucleotide ribosomal RNA is filed under the name uncultured bacterium. Its description in RNAcentral is "partial 16S ribosomal RNA". It matches the Rfam family "Bacterial small subunit ribosomal RNA", at positions 338 to 795 of the family's 1533-position model. The record is from RNAcentral.